CGUGUGGCGCAGUGGAUCAGCGCGUCUGUCUUCGGAACAGAAGGUCCUGGGUUCGACCCCCA
Molecule: transfer RNA, 62 nt
Filed under: Chloroparvula cf. pacifica RCC999
Lineage: Eukaryota; Viridiplantae; Chlorophyta; Chloropicophyceae; Chloropicales; Chloropicaceae
Rfam family: tRNA
About the family: Transfer RNA (tRNA) molecules are approximately 80 nucleotides in length.
Source: RNAcentral